RNAcentral lists this ribosomal RNA (484 nucleotides) under uncultured bacterium. RNAcentral's name for it is "partial 16S ribosomal RNA". It matches the Rfam family "Bacterial small subunit ribosomal RNA", at positions 28 to 523 of the family's 1533-position model. The record is from RNAcentral.
GACGAACGCUGGCGGCGUGCUUAACACAUGCAAGUCGAACGAUGAAGCCGGAGCUUGCUCUGGUGAAUUAGUGGCGGACGGGUGAGUAACACGUGAGUAACCUGCCCUUGACUCUGGGAUAACUGCGGGAAACUGUAGCUAAUACCGGAUACGACCCUCGGAGGCAUCUCCUGGGGGUGGAAAGAAUUUCGGUCAAGGAUGGACUCGCGGCCUAUCAGCUAGUUGGUGAGGUAAAGGCUCACCAAGGCGACGACGGGUAGCCGGCCUGAGAGGGUGACCGGCCACACUGGGACUGAGACACGGCCCAGACUCCUACGGGAGGCAGCAGUGGGGAAUAUUGCACAAUGGGCGCAAGCCUGAUGCAGCAACGCCGCGUGAGGGAUGACGGCCUUCGGGUUGUAAACCUCUUUUAGCAGGGAAGAAGCGAAAGUGACGGUACCUGCAGAAAAAGCACCGGCUAACUACGUGCCAGCAGCCGCGGUAA